This 410-nucleotide ribosomal RNA is filed under the name uncultured bacterium. RNAcentral describes it as "bacterial SSU rRNA". It matches the Rfam family "Bacterial small subunit ribosomal RNA", at positions 359 to 765 of the family's 1533-position model. The record is from RNAcentral.
AGUCAUUGCAUGGGCGAAAGCCUGAUCAGCAAUGCCGCGUGUGUGAAGAAGGCCUUCGGGUUGUAAAGCACUUUUGUCCGGAAAGAAAUCCUUUGGGUUAAUACCUCGGGGGGAUGACGGUACCGGAAGAAUAAGCACCGGCUAACUACGUGCCAGCAGCCGCGGUAAUACGUAGGGUGCAAGCGUUAAUCGGAAUUACUGGGCGUAAAGCGUGCGCAGGCGGUUUUGUAAGACGGAUGUGAAAUCCCCGGGCUUAACCUGGGAACUGCAUUCGUGACUGCAAGGCUAGAGUAUGGCAGAGGGGGGUAGAAUUCCACGUGUAGCAGUGAAAUGCGUAGAGAUGUGGAGGAAUACCGAUGGCGAAGGCAGCCCCCUGGGCCAAUACUGACGCUCAUGCACGAAAGCGUGGG